RNAcentral lists this ribosomal RNA (254 nucleotides) under uncultured bacterium. Its description in RNAcentral is "partial 16S ribosomal RNA". It matches the Rfam family "Bacterial small subunit ribosomal RNA", at positions 524 to 776 of the family's 1533-position model. The record is from RNAcentral.
UACGGAGGGUGCGAGCGUUGUCCGGAAUCAUUGGGCGUAAAGGGCGCGUAGGUGGCCCGGUCAGUUCGUGGUGAAAGCGCGGGGCUCAACCCUGCGUCGGCCAUGAAUACUGCCGCGGCUGGAGCACUGUAGAGGCAGGCGGAAUUCCGGGUGUAGCGGUGGAAUGCGUAGAGAUCCGGAAGAACACCGGUGGCGAAGGCGGCUUGCUGGGCAGUUGCUGACACUGAGGCGCGACAGCGUGGGGAGCAAACAGG